RNAcentral lists this ribosomal RNA (253 nucleotides) under uncultured bacterium. RNAcentral describes it as "partial 16S ribosomal RNA". It matches the Rfam family "Bacterial small subunit ribosomal RNA", at positions 524 to 776 of the family's 1533-position model. The record is from RNAcentral.
UACGUAGGGCGCAAGCGUUAUCCGGAAUUACUGGGCGUAAAGGGCGCGUAGGCGGCCUGCUAAGUCGAACGUGAAAUCCCUGGGCUCAACCCAGGAGCUGCGUCCGAUACUGGUUGGCUUGAAUCCGGGAGAGGGAUGUGGAAUUCCAGGUGUAGCGGUGAAAUGCGUAGAUAUCUGGAGGAACACCGGUGGCGAAGGCGACAUCCUGGACCGGUAUUGACGCUGAGGCGCGAAAGCCAGGGGAGCAAACGGG